UACGUAGGGUGCGAGCGUUAAUCGGAAUUACUGGGCGUAAAGCGUGCGCAGGCGGCUUUGCAAGACAGAUGUGAAAUCCCCGGGCUCAACCUGGGAACUGCAUUUGUGACUGCAAGGCUAGAGUACGGCAGAGGGGGAGGGAAUUCCGCGUGUAGCAGUGAAAUGCGUAGACAUGCGGAGGAACACCAAUGGCGAAGGCAAUCCCCUGGGCCUGUACUGACG
RNAcentral lists this ribosomal RNA (222 nucleotides) under uncultured bacterium. Its description in RNAcentral is "partial 16S ribosomal RNA". It matches the Rfam family "Bacterial small subunit ribosomal RNA", at positions 524 to 745 of the family's 1533-position model. The record is from RNAcentral.